Molecule: ribosomal RNA, 427 nt
Filed under: uncultured bacterium
Lineage: Bacteria
Description: partial 16S ribosomal RNA
Rfam family: Bacterial small subunit ribosomal RNA
Source: RNAcentral
UGGGGAAUUUUGGACAAUGGGCGCAAGCCUGAUCCAGCAAUGCCGCGUGAGUGAAGAAGGCCUUCGGGUUGUAAAGCUCUUUUGUCAGGGAAGAAACGGCUGUGGCUAAUAUCCACGGCUACUGACGGUACCUGAAGAAUAAGCACCGGCUAACUACGUGCCAGCAGCCGCGGUAAUACGUAGGGUGCAAGCGUUAAUCGGAAUUACUGGGCGUAAAGCGUGCGCAGGCGGUUUUGUAAGUCUGUCGUGAAAUCCCCGGGCUCAACCUGGGAAUUGCGAUGGAGACUGCAAGGCUAGAAUCUGGCAGAGGGGGGUAGAAUUCCACGUGUAGCAGUGAAAUGCGUAGAGAUGUGGAGGAACACCGAUGGCGAAGGCAGCCCCCUGGGUCAAGACUGACGCUCAGGUGCGAAAGCGUGGGGAGCAAACA